AGGGUUCGAUUCUGGCUCAGAACGAACGCUGGCGGCAGGCUUAACACAUGCAAGUUGAACGGGAUUGAUUGGUAGCUUGCUAUUAAUCAUGAGAGUAGCGCACUGGUGAGUAACACGUGGGAACGUACCUAUUGGUGGGGGACAACAGUUGGAAACGACUGCUAAUACCGCAUAAGCCCUGAGGGGGAAAGAUUUAUUGCCGAUAGAUCGGCCCGCGGAAGAUUAGGUAGUAGGUGGGGUAACGGCCUACCUAGCCGACGAUCUAUAGCUGGUCUAAGAGGACGAUCAGCCACAUUGGAACUGAGACACGGUCCAGACUCCUACGGGAGGCAGCAGUGAGGAAUAUUGGGCAAUGGAGGCAACUCUGACCCAGCCAUGCCGCGUGAGUGAAGAAGGUUUUCGGAUUGUAAAGCUCUUUCAGAUGAGAAGAUGAUGACGGUAUCAUCAGAAGAAGCACCGGCUAACUUCGUGCCAGCCGCCGC
This 482-nucleotide ribosomal RNA is filed under the name uncultured bacterium. RNAcentral's name for it is "bacterial SSU rRNA". It matches the Rfam family "Bacterial small subunit ribosomal RNA", at positions 8 to 518 of the family's 1533-position model. The record is from RNAcentral.